Cinara cedri is the source of this 262-nucleotide non-coding RNA. Lineage: Eukaryota; Metazoa; Arthropoda; Insecta; Hemiptera; Aphididae. The record is from the annotation of a GenBank genome assembly.
GUGUUGUGGAUGUACGUGGUGUAUAUUGUUGCGCGUUAAAGCGUGGCCUAUACGGCCCGUAAACUCGUUGUGUGAUUGUUUUGACCUUUGGCAUGGCUUGAACAGCCCAGUAAGUCAGUAUGUGCGCCUGUUGUCGCGUUCGUUAAGUAUAACGCACAAGAGUAAAGGAGUAUGUUAAAACGUAGGCGACCAACAUUCAAAUGCUUAUAUAAUAUACGACUUUCAUUUGUGUAUGGUGAAAAGUAUAUGGCUAAAUUGGACU